RNAcentral lists this long non-coding RNA (576 nucleotides) under Rattus norvegicus (Norway rat). Its description in RNAcentral is "long non-coding RNA NONRATT017017". The record is from RNAcentral. Lineage: Eukaryota; Metazoa; Chordata; Mammalia; Rodentia; Muridae.
CAGACACUCAUGGCGGGCCAAGUGAAAGACCGGGAGGCCUUCCAGAGACUCAACUUCCUUUACCAGGUGAGACAGCGCUCAGGUGGGUGGCAGGCCCGUGCUCCGGCCGAGGAAUGACCCGGAUGGCCGUCCUUGUCCCCAGGCUGCACACUGCGUCCUCUCUCAGAACCCCGAGAACCAGGCACUGGCUAGGUUUUACUGCCACACAGAGAAGACCAUCGCGAAGCGGCUGGUCCUACGGCAGGACCCCUCUGUGAAGAGGACGCUCUGUCGCGACUGCUCCUCUCUCCUCAUCCCUGGCCUCACCUGCACGCAGCGCCAGAGACGCCGAAAGGGACAACGCUGGACAGUACAGACCUGUCUGACAUGCCAGCGAAGCCAGCGGUUCCUCAAUGACCCCAAGCAUCUCCUCUGGGGUGACCGGCCUGAAGCCCAGUUGGAAAAUCAGGCGGAUUUCAAACCGUCAGAGCCCCUGCCAAACAUAGCUGACCUUUCUAAGGAGAACGUGCAGACUCAGGCUUUAAACACCACUGAAUGAACUCAUCCAUUUUCCAGAUAAAUAAAGUUGAGUUGUUU